GAUGAACGCUGGCGGCGUGCUUAACACAUGCAAGUCGAACGGAAAGGCUCCUGCUUGCCGGGGUACUCGAGUGGCGAACGGGUGAGUAACACGUGGGUGAUCUGCCCUGCACUUCGGGAUAAGCCUGGGAAACUGGGUCUAAUACCGGAUAGGACCACAUUUUGGAUGGUGUGGUGGAAAGUUUUUCGGUGUGGGAUGAGCUCGCGGCCUAUCAGCUUGUUGGUGGGGUAAUGGCCUACCAAGGCGUCGACGGGUAGCCGGCCUGAGAGGGUGUACGGCCACAUUGGGACUGAGAUACGGCCCAGACUCCUACGGGAGGCAGCAGUGGGGAAUAUUGCACAAUGGGCGCAAGCCUGAUGCAGCGACGCCGCGUGGGGGAUGACGGCCUUCGGGUUGUAAACUCCUUUCGCUAGGGACGAAGCGUUUUUGUGACGGUACCUGGAGAAGAAGCACCGGCUAACUACG
RNAcentral lists this ribosomal RNA (465 nucleotides) under uncultured bacterium. RNAcentral's name for it is "partial 16S ribosomal RNA". It matches the Rfam family "Bacterial small subunit ribosomal RNA", at positions 28 to 505 of the family's 1533-position model. The record is from RNAcentral.